GACGAACGCUGGUGGCGUGCUUAACACAUGCAAGUCGAACGGGAUUUAGUAAACAGAAGCCUCGGUGGAAGAUUACUAAUGAGAGUGGCGAACGGGUGAGUAACGCGUGAGCAACCUGCCUAUGACAGUGGGAUAGCCUCGGGAAACCGGGAUUAAUACCGCAUCAAAUCGUAGAAACACAUGUUUUAACGGUCAAAGAUUUAUCGGUCAUAGAUGGGCUCGCGUCUGAUUAGCUAGUUGGUGAGAUAACAGCCCACCAAGGCGACGAUCAGUAGCCGGUCUGAGAGGAUGAACGGCCACAUUGGAACUGAGACACGGUCCAAACUCCUACGGGAGGCAGCAGUGGGGAAUAUUGCAAAAUGGGGGAAACCCUGAUGCAGCGACGCCGCGUGAACGAAGAAGGUAUUCGUAUCGUAAAGUUCUGUCCUAUGGGAAGAUAAUGACAGUACCAUAGAAGAAAGCUCCGGCUAAAUACGUG
Molecule: ribosomal RNA, 478 nt
Filed under: uncultured bacterium
Lineage: Bacteria
Description: partial 16S ribosomal RNA
Rfam family: Bacterial small subunit ribosomal RNA
Source: RNAcentral